AUUGAACGCUGGCGGCAGGCCUAACACAUGCAAGUCGAGCGGUAGCACAGAGAGCUUGCUCUCGGGUGACGAGCGGCGGACGGGUGAGUAAUGUCUGGGAAACUGCCUGAUGGAGGGGGAUAACUACUGGAAACGGUAGCGAAUACCGCAUAACGUCGCAAGACCAAAGAGGGGGACCUUCGGGCCUCUUGCCAUCAGAUGUGCCCAGAUGGGAUUAGCUAGUAGGUGGGGUAACGGCUCACCUAGGCGACGAUCCCUAGCUGGUCUGAGAGGAUGACCAGCCACACUGGAACUCAGACACGGUCCAGAGUCCUACGGAAGGCAGCAGUGGGUAAUAUUGCACAAUGGGCGCAAGCCUGAUGCAGCCAUGCCGCGUGUAUGAAGAAGGCCUUCGGGUUGUAAAGUACUUUCAGCGGGGAGGAAGGCGAUAAGGUUAAUAACCUUGUCGAUUGACGUUACCCGCAGAAGAAGCACCGGCUAACUCCGUGCCAGCCGCCGCCGUAA
RNAcentral lists this ribosomal RNA (504 nucleotides) under uncultured bacterium. Its description in RNAcentral is "partial 16S ribosomal RNA". It matches the Rfam family "Bacterial small subunit ribosomal RNA", at positions 30 to 523 of the family's 1533-position model. The record is from RNAcentral.